Molecule: ribosomal RNA, 526 nt
Filed under: uncultured bacterium
Lineage: Bacteria
Description: bacterial SSU rRNA
Rfam family: Bacterial small subunit ribosomal RNA
Source: RNAcentral
CGUUUCUGUUCUUUUCGUUUGGUCUGGGUACUUGUAGUUUUCUUAUGGUAGAGUUUGAGUCCUGGCUCAGGACGAACGCUGGCGGCGUGCUUAACACAUGCAAGUCGAACGCUGAAGCCUGCAGCUUGCUGUGGGUGGAUGAGUGGCGAACGGGUGAGUAACACGUGAGUAACCUGCCCCUGACUCUGGGAUAAGCCCGGGAAACUGGGUCUAAUACCGGAUAUGACCAUUCUCCGCAUGGAGUGGUGGUGGAAAGAUGGUUUCGGCUAUCACUUACAGAUGGGCCCGCGGCGCAUUAGCUAGUUGGUGAGGUAACGGCUCACCAAGGCGACGAUGCGUAGCCGACCUGAGAGGGUGAUCGGCCACACUGGGACUGAGACACGGCCCAGACUCCUACGGGAGGCAGCAGUAGGGAAUCUUCCACAAUGGACGAAAGUCUGAUGGAGCAACGCCGCGUGAGCGAUGAAGGCCUUCGGGUCGUAAAGCUCUGUUGUUAGGGAAGAACAAGUGCGAGAGUAACUGCUCG